This 235-nucleotide ribosomal RNA is filed under the name uncultured bacterium. Its description in RNAcentral is "partial 16S ribosomal RNA". It matches the Rfam family "Bacterial small subunit ribosomal RNA", at positions 102 to 334 of the family's 1533-position model. The record is from RNAcentral.
CGACGGGUGCGUAACGCGUAUGCAACUUGCCUAUCAGGAGGGGAUAACCCGGCGAAAGUCGGACUAAUACCGCAUGAAGCAGGGAUCCCGCAUGGGAAUAUUUGCUAAAGAUUCAUCGCUGAUAGAUAGGCAUGCGUUCCAUUAGGCAGUUGGCGGGGUAACGGCCCACCAAACCGACGAUGGAUAGGGGUUCUGAGAGGAAGGUCCCCCACAUUGGUACUGAGACACGGACCAA